Long non-coding RNA from Haemorhous mexicanus (house finch), 4460 nucleotides. RefSeq lists it as uncharacterized. The record is from RefSeq and is a predicted model, not a curated record. The transcript is spliced from 4 exons. NCBI's taxonomy places the organism in Eukaryota, Metazoa, Chordata, Aves, Passeriformes, Fringillidae.
AGGGGCGUGUGGCGGCGAGACCCCCGCGGCCCCUGCUGCGCCCGGAGCGGGACACGGGGCUGUGCGAACUCUUCCGGAAUUCCUGCUCAUUUCAUCUUCUUCUCAUCCUCCUUGUAGUUAUGUUUUGGGUGUGCUUUAUCACGCACGCCACGUGUCGGUGCAGCGGUGCUUGCGUGUGGUUUAUAAAUAACUCCGUGUACACUGGGGACACGCUCGCUCGGGGGUGUUUCACUGCCAGGGGCGCGCUGCGGCCUCUCCCGGCCACACUUAAGGAUCUAGAGCAUUAAAUAACAUUAAGAAUUAACAGAUGCCAAAGGAGUCGCAUUCCUUUUUCCGUGGGAAGGAGGUCAGCGCCGGCGGCGGGGGUGUCGCAGCAGAUGGCUAAGAUUUUGCUCAUGACCCGUGAGCACUGCACGGGACACCUUCUUGAUGCAUCUCCGUAAUCUCAUCCUGCAGCUUCUCCAGUCAUCCCUUCCUGCAGUAAUCAAAACUGAGGUUACUGUGAAGCUUUAGCCCCGAUGAUUGACAAGAAAACAAUUGCCUGAUGAGGAAAAUGCCCCUGCUCCCACCAUGUAUUGGCGUUUCGGCUCCAGAUAAUAUUUUCUGUGCAUAAUAACUAACGCAGCCUGAGGGAACCUUGUCGACACGGCGUGAAUUCGUCCACCUUUAAUCAGCGUUCAGGCGGAGAGCGGCUUCCCACCCCUGUGCAUGGGUUGGUGUGCCGGUCGGGAAUGGUUUGAUCUCUCCGCAGCUCAGCCAGCCACUACAUCGGAUUGCUUGGGAAGUCAGCGGGGCUGCCGGGUACCAGGAUAAAGUUCGUGGGAAGGCGUCAUUGCAAGAGGACUGACAGUGCACACAGGAACCACAGUUACAGCCAGUCACUUAUUCGUUUCCUGCUUGAGUGCCAUAAAACAUUUUCAGAAAUGGAAGGAGAAAAAGGGCAAAGUGCUAAAGCUACCAGUGCAGUGGGUGACCUGAGGAAAAGCUGGCAGACCUGGGCAGAGGAUCACAUUGAAUAUCAGAGGAAGAAUCCAUUCAGCAGCGAUGACAGGCUUGCAUCUAAACCUGCACAUACUCACAGAGGAGAUCCUACCUACGGGAGACCCCCUGAAGGGUCUCGGACAGAGCAGAGAGGGAGAGAUGCUCACUCACACGUGGGUAAGGAAGUAGAAGAGCUGUGCUUGAUCAUCAGAAGAACUGGAGAGGUGGGAGAAGAUGGACACGUGAGAGUGACAUUCGGGCAGCUGUUUGAAACAUAUGUGACUAUUUCCAAUAAAGUAGUGGGAAUCUUGUUAAGAGCCAGAAAACAUGGUCUGGUUCAUUUUGAAGGUGAAAUGCUUUGGCAAGGAAAAGAUGAUGACGUAGUCAUCACUUUACUACAAUAAGGCUUUGUCCUGGAAUGAACUUUGCUGCAUAGUUCCAGUUGGAAAAACAUAUCUAGAUACCGUCUUCACAGGUUUUGGUUACAGAAUUUCAACUCAGCUACCUACUGGGACACAAGCAGGAGAGGAAAUGGGCGAGAAGGAUAUUUUUUUUAAAAUGGUAGAGAUUUGGACAGAAAUUGCAGAUUAUGAGCUACUCUAUCAUGCUGACAUUGGAUUGUCCUUAUUAUCAUCUAUUAGCAAAUAUAUGAGUGUUCUUCAAAUAACUGUGCUGGCCUACUGCUUUUAGGUUACUAAAAGUAUAAAUUACUAACUUGCUAUGCUACACCACUGAUUCCUGCAGUUUGUGAAAUACUGCGUGGGAGAAUGGGAUUUGUAAAACAUGGAAUUGAAAACUCUUGUGGGAAUUCAUAUACUUCUUUAAACAAAGAGCCUGGUAUAGAUCAAAAAUUUUAGGUUCCAUCUCACAUAGUUAAACUGAAUAAAUGGAAGUUAUUUUCAUGAAGUAGAUAGAAAUUCCCAAACUUACAAAAAUAUCACAGCAAGUGUACUUGAUGGUUCCUAAAUUAGUUGCAUCUUACUUGGAUUUUGGACAGCUGCACUGGUUUUGGUAUUUAAUAGGCUAAUCUUACAAUCAUAUCUUCUCCAAACCUUCUGUGUCUCUUGUUCUUUUUGUUUUCUAUCUCACACCAUUUUUUUCCUGUUCUUCUAACACUUCAGAAGUCCACAAAGCUCUGGAGCCUUUUCAGUGAAUUCAGCUAUACCCCUUCAGAGAAGGUGGGGUGCCACAAUGUGAAGACGCAAAAGUCAGCAGUCACUCUGUAUUGGGGCACCUGUGCAUUCAUAAGGAAAAAAAAAGGCUCUUCUUUCACCAAAAUGUAGCAAUGUUUUUUACAAGAGGAGAGUAGAGAUACUGUAGUGCCAAAUGCAUAAAUGAAAGUAUAGCAGCAGUCCCAUACCUCAUUUACCUGCUUUCAGAGCACAGAUGUGAGCUCUUGAGAAAGAAAAAAAAAAAAAAAAAAAAAAAAAAAAAAAAAAAAAAUUUGUUAUAUAACAUAGUUGUGAUAGUGCUAUGAAAAAUAAUCAGGAGCUGUAUUUACAAUAGUUCCCACCAAUAAAGCUGUAUAAUUAGAAAUCUAAAGUUCUAUUUUUUAGCAGUGCAAAUAGAAGCUUCUGUGUGGCGUUAACUACACUACUUGAUGGGUCUUUAAAGUAAGAGACUGUUCUUGCAUCAAAAGGAUAUUAAAAUUUAAUAUAAAUUAGGAACUUGAUAAAAGUGAUGUGUAAUUUUAUGAUAUUUAUAAAAAAACUUCUGUUGCAAAAAGCCUAAAAGAAUGGGGGUUUGUUUUGAUGUUUUCAUCCAAUGGGGAUUUGCACCAAACUAAGUCUUUGGCUGAGGAUUUCAUUAUUUUCCUGCCUCCUUUUUUCUUUUUCUGGUGAAAGGACAAUGAAAAGAGAAAAAAAAAAGGAAUAAAUUAAUGUGCUGAAAUCAGUAUAUCUGGGGAACAGGGCAGUCAGGUGCAGGUAGAGAAUGGAUUUUAAUCACCACAUAAUUUUACCGCAUUGGAGAAGGAGGAAUGUGCGCUGCACCAGGCACUGUUGGUGUGCUCCCUUAGCUUUCAGAGCAAACCUACUGCUUCUUUCUAAACAGAUCUACAUCUUGCAGCUGAAAAAGAAGUAGAUGCAGUUUGUGGUCUUAACAUAUUUACAAUGCUUUGUGUUUUUGAAAAAGCAUUUUUUGCCAAAUGACAUGAGCACACUUAAUUUUUCAGCUCAUAUUAGAGGAAGUCUUUACAUGCAUCAGAUUUCAACACAAAUUGAACUUUUUAUAGUACAGUUGUGGAAUGAGUUUUGUUUAAUUCUAAUAAUUCUGAAAUCCACUCAGUUCUGCUGUAGUGUUAGUUCAUAACUUGCAGGAAGCAGCAUCAGGCAUUUCAAGUGUCACCAGCUGACUAAUGGGAUGGCACUAUCAGGAAAAAUAAUACAUUGCUGGACAUUGUACAAAUAAUUCAUUGCAAGACACACAUGUGAGGCGGUAUGUAGCCUGAGCACCAUAAGAUGCAAGUCCAGCUCACAUAAAUUUACUACAUUUUAAUUAAGGCUGGCUCAAAUAGUUGAAUAUCAGCAAUCUAGGCUGUCACUGCCAUGUAAGUGUUGGAUGUUUGAACACAUCAACAAACACUUUUUAAGGACACCUCUGAUCAAAACAGAAGCAGAGCAAACCCUUAAUGACAUGGUCUUACCUACUUUGUAAGUGACUAAAAAAAGCUUCUCUAUUAUUAUAUUUUUAAAAGAACCAAGGAUUACUAUAUAACAAAUCUAUUAUUUGUAGAGGGAUUUUUUUUAAACAGUUACAGAGCCAACCUGCCAGCUUUAGAUGAGCAUUCUGGAUAAUGGGACUAAAAUCUUUCUGUGUGCCCAUGCAAUGAUUAUAAACACUGAGCUGCCAAACUGGCUCAGCACACAGGUUGACAAAUCCAGUCUUGUGCUUCCAGCAAUAGCCAGCAUUUCAAAAAAAGACUAAAAGAUAGAUAAUAGAACUGAUCAGCUUGCCCACUGGUACACUCUGGAAUAAAAAAUUACUCCUGAAGCCUGUCUAGUCAUGAAUGCAUUAUAUCUAAUGCAAAUGACUCAGUUCAGCUACAAGUUUUUCAAAAUUAUGCUUCAUCUGUGAUUAGAUUAACAUCUACAGAUGAAAUAGGAAUUUAGACUUUUCAACAUGCAACUUGUUUUUUUCAGCAGGCUCCCAUUAGAGUAAAUGGAACAGAAUUUAUUAAAUUGUUUUUGCAAAAAUUGUAGCAUAUAAGGGGUUUUAGUAUUACAGAUUAUUUGGAGUAGUAAGUAAACCCCAAACUUUUUAAAAGGUGUUCUUGCCCUACUAAGCAUCUUUCAGCUGUUUAAAUCUCUCCUAAACUUCACUUUGUGACAGAUUACAUCAGUGGUCUUUGCCCUCCUUCCACUUGAAGUCUGUAAACUCUGCAUCUGUUUUGGACUGUAUAUCAUAGAGGGAUUAUCUGUGGUUUGUCAAACACUGAAGGCAUGUCACCAUUUCAAUAAAUGUUGCACAUUCGUUUGAAA